RNAcentral lists this unclassified non-coding RNA (247 nucleotides) under uncultured fungus. RNAcentral describes it as "partial contains 5.8S ribosomal RNA, internal transcribed spacer 2, and large subunit ribosomal RNA". The record is from RNAcentral. Lineage: Eukaryota; Fungi.
AACGCACAUUGCGCCCUUUGGCAUUCCGAAGGGCAUGCCUGUUCGAGCGUCAUUAUCAACCCUCAAGCCCAGCUUGUUCUUGGACCCGGUUAUUGUUCAACCGGUCUCAAAGAUAACGACGGUGCCUAGAGGACCCUCAGUACAAUGAGCUUUUUUAAGCACGUAUUGCAGUGGUUUCUGGGCCCGGUCUUCCAAUCAUUUUUACAAGGUUGACCUCGGAUCAGGUAGGGAUACCCGCUGAACUUAA